RNAcentral lists this long non-coding RNA (837 nucleotides) under Triticum aestivum (bread wheat). RNAcentral describes it as "long non-coding RNA (TAES_LNC001195)". Lineage: Eukaryota; Viridiplantae; Streptophyta; Magnoliopsida; Poales; Poaceae. The record is from RNAcentral.
AGCUCUUAUUACAAAGGAUAAUAAUUACACGGGCCUGAUGAUACAAAGAAUCACAUCAGCAUGGCGACACUACACCUACGAUACUACACUUGCUCUAUGCUAGCAGUGGAACAACUCGUAGCAGCGGAAUACUUCUAGCAGUGGAACAACGACGAAGGUGGUGAACUCCACUCUGUAGGGACUCUGGUUGGGACACGAUCUAGCUCGCACGCGUGGUAACCUCGACAAGCAAUCAAUCAAACAAGGCAUCACCUGCAAUCUGGCAUGACACGCCAGGUCAGUACAUUGCAUGUACUUGCAAGCUCACAACAACCAAAAGCAUCAAGGCAAGACAAUAACAUAGAAUUAAACAGGUUAAUUAAAUUAACAGCUACCAUGAUACAAAAGCAUCUACUAAGAUGAUAUGAAACUACUACAAUACUGAUAAACCAACAUCUCAAUCUCAGAAACCAUCUCACUCUAGGCUAACGGGCCAAGCAAUAUACCAUCUUGAUCACCUCAUGAUCCACCUGAUCACCUCGUGAUCAAAACAUCCACAUGAUAACCUCAUGAUCAAAACAUCCACAUGAUCACCUCAUGAUCAAAACAUCCACAUGAUCACCUCGUGACCACAUCACAAAAUGAUCAUCCUCAAGAUCAUCUCAAUAUCAUCAUCUGCAUCCUGCCAAACUAUUACUGCUCACAAUAUAUCAACAUAUAAAUCACCUAUAAGUCAUUCCGUCAAGUCAGUGUUGAUCGAACGGUGUGACCUAGUACGAACUUGUGCCCAUGACCAAGGACGCGUCUAUCAAUAGAUUAAACACACACACACUGCAGAGGUUAGCGCACUGUACCAAC